GGGGGUGAACGGUUUCGACUCUGGACGUUGAGUCAGGGGAAGCGUGCAGGUGCAGGCGGGAUGACCACCUCAAGCGUCGCCCGCAAACCAAUAAGCGCCAAGACUAACAGUCAGCGCGACUUCGCCCUCGCCGCCUGAGCGAGGCGAAGUCUGUCGGCCCAGGGGCGCCUCCGCCCUGGUCAGCCGGCAUCAGCUAGGAGGCUCACCGCCAGACCCGGUCACGGGGGCUGGUAGGGACACUCACAGUGACUGGGCCCGUCACGUCGGCUUGUUCGCGUGACCGACGGGGCCGAGUAGAGGCAUAGCGAACUGCGCACGGAGAAGUCCUGUCGAGACGACAGAGGACCCGGGUUCGAUUCCCGGCACCUCCACUC
Molecule: transfer-messenger RNA, 374 nt
Filed under: Labedaea rhizosphaerae
Lineage: Bacteria; Bacillati; Actinomycetota; Actinomycetes; Pseudonocardiales; Pseudonocardiaceae
Description: Standard tmRNA
Rfam family: transfer-messenger RNA
About the family: Bacterial tmRNA, also known as 10Sa RNA or SsrA, is named for its dual tRNA and mRNA-like properties. Its role is to liberate the mRNA from a stalled ribosome.
Source: Rfam by way of RNAcentral